UACGGAGGGGGCUAGCGUUGUUCGGAAUCAUUGGGCGUAAAGGGCGCGUAGGCGGCCGAUCAAGUCGGAGGUGAAAUCCCUCGGCUCAACUGAGGAAUUGCCUUCGAUACUGUUCGGCUUGAGUCCUGGAGAGGGUAGCGGAAUUCCCGGUGUAGCGGUGAAAUGCGUAGAGACCGGGAAGAACACCAGUGGCGAAGGCGGCUACCUGGACAGGUACUGACGCUGAAGCGCGAAAGCUAGGGGAGCAGACAGG
RNAcentral lists this ribosomal RNA (253 nucleotides) under uncultured bacterium. RNAcentral's name for it is "partial 16S ribosomal RNA". It matches the Rfam family "Bacterial small subunit ribosomal RNA", at positions 524 to 776 of the family's 1533-position model. The record is from RNAcentral.